GUAUUCAAUUUAUUUUUGUUUUCCAAAAAAAAUUAAUGUUUUUCAGGCUUGCUUUGAGAAAAAAGCAAGAAAGGUUUGUCAACGUGAAACAAAGGAAAAAACUCUGGCAGCGCCGGAGGAAGGGAGGUGAGAGAAAGCUUUUUAUUUCUUCUUCCCUCCUCUCUUCUCUCCACGGAGAAACAAUAAAGGAUCUCCCGCAAACUGCCAAAGCAAACAUGUCAAUGAGGUGCACACGAAGGUGGAUAUGGAUUUGAACCAUCCAUAUGCAAAGGAAAAUGGACAAUUGUUAAUGAUCCUUCCGCAGGUUCACCUACGGAAA
Molecule: unclassified non-coding RNA, 319 nt
Filed under: uncultured fungus
Lineage: Eukaryota; Fungi
Description: sequence contains ITS1
Source: RNAcentral